This 678-nucleotide ribosomal RNA is filed under the name uncultured Acinetobacter sp. Its description in RNAcentral is "bacterial SSU rRNA". It matches the Rfam family "Bacterial small subunit ribosomal RNA", at positions 51 to 723 of the family's 1533-position model. Lineage: Bacteria; Pseudomonadati; Pseudomonadota; Gammaproteobacteria; Moraxellales; Moraxellaceae. The record is from RNAcentral.
ACACAUGCAAGUCGAGCAGAGAUGAGGUGCUUGCACCUUAUCUUAGCGGCGGACGGGUGAGUAAUGCUUAGGAAUCUGCCUAUUAGUGGGGGACAACAUUCCGAAAGGAAUGCUAAUACCGCAUACGUCCUACGGGAGAAAGCAGGGGAUCUUCGGACCUUGCGCUAAUAGAUGAGCCUAAGUCGGAUUAGCUAGUUGGUGGGGUAAAGGCCUACCAAGGCGACGAUCUGUAGCGGGUCUGAGAGGAUGAUCCGCCACACUGGGACUGAGACACGGCCCAGACUCCUACGGGAGGCAGCAGUGGGGAAUAUUGGACAAUGGGGGGAACCCUGAUCCAGCCAUGCCGCGUGUGUGAAGAAGGUCUUAUGGUUGUAAAGCACUUUAAGCGAGGAGGAGGCUACUGAGACUAAUACUCUUGGAUAGUGGACGUUACUCGCAGAAUAAGCACCGGCUAACUCUGUGCCAGCAGCCGCGGUAAUACAGAGGGUGCGAGCGUUAAUCGGAUUUACUGGGCGUAAAGCGUGCGUAGGCGGCUUUUUAAGUCGGAUGUGAAAUCCCCGAGCUUAACUUGGGAAUUGCAUUCGAUACUGGGAAGCUAGAGUAUGGGAGAGGAUGGUAGAAUUCCAGGUGUAGCGGUGAAAUGCGUAGAGAUCUGGAGGAAUACCGAUGGCGAAGGCA